Long non-coding RNA from Drosophila willistoni, 415 nucleotides. RefSeq lists it as uncharacterized. NCBI's taxonomy places the organism in Eukaryota, Metazoa, Arthropoda, Insecta, Diptera, Drosophilidae. The transcript is spliced from 3 exons. The record is from RefSeq and is a predicted model, not a curated record.
GGUUUCCCAUUCGAAUCAUUCGUCUGCCAAGUGUAAAGCAGUCAACAACUCUCGGACUUGAUUUCGUCAAAAUUUCCAGUGAAAAAAUAUGUAAAAACUAAAUCCUCUUAUUCAGAUCCCAAUGUACAAAGACGAUGGCGAUGCGGUCCGUUUCUCCAUAUAUGUAUGGAGCAUGGCCGAGGUCUUUGGUCUACGGAGGAUGACAAAAUACUAUCUCAAUUAGUGGUUUUCCAUUUCCCGUUUUCAUUUGUCCAACGAAUCGAUUCCUAAAUGUCGACGGUACCGGGCCCCAGGAUUGGGUCUGCAGCUUUGCGUCAAACAUUUCCAAACAUGUAUCACCUGUUCGGAUUUAAAAGAUAACAAUCACAAUGUUUAAUUAAAAUAAAAUACAGUAAAUUUAGAGAGCAUUACACUA